UACGUAGGGGGCAAGCGUUGUCCGGAUUUAUUGGGCGUAAAGAGCGUGUAGGCGGCUUGACAGGUCCGUUGUGAAAACUCGAGGCUCAACCUCGAGAUGUCGAUGGAAACCGUCUGGCUAGAGUCCGGAAGAGGAGUGUGGAAUUCCUGGUGUAGCGGUGAAAUGCGCAGAUAUCAGGAAGAACACCGAUGGCGAAGGCAGCACUCUGGGACGGUACUGACACUGAGGCACGAAAGCGUGGGGAGCAAACAGG
Molecule: ribosomal RNA, 253 nt
Filed under: uncultured bacterium
Lineage: Bacteria
Description: partial 16S ribosomal RNA
Rfam family: Bacterial small subunit ribosomal RNA
Source: RNAcentral